UACGAAGGGGGCUAGCGUUGCUCGGAAUCACUGGGCGUAAAGGGUGCGUAGGCGGGUCUUUAAGUCAGGGGUGAAAUCCUGGAGCUCAACUCCAGAACUGCCUUUGAUACUGAAGAUCUUGAGUUCGGGAGAGGUGAGUGGAACUGCGAGUGUAGAGGUGAAAUUCGUAGAUAUUCGCAAAGAACACCCAGUGGCGAAGGGCGGCCAACUGGUCCGGAACUGAC
This 224-nucleotide ribosomal RNA is filed under the name uncultured bacterium. RNAcentral's name for it is "partial 16S ribosomal RNA". It matches the Rfam family "Bacterial small subunit ribosomal RNA", at positions 524 to 744 of the family's 1533-position model. The record is from RNAcentral.